This 242-nucleotide unclassified non-coding RNA is filed under the name Glomeraceae sp. RNAcentral describes it as "partial contains 5.8S ribosomal RNA and internal transcribed spacer 2". The stretch from base 1 to 71 matches the Rfam family "5.8S ribosomal RNA", at positions 84 to 154 of the family's 154-position model. Lineage: Eukaryota; Fungi; Glomeromycota; Glomeromycetes; Glomerales; Glomeraceae. The record is from RNAcentral.
GUGAAUCAUCGAAUCUUUGAACGCAAAUUGCGCUUCCUGGCAUCCCGGGAAGUAUGCCUGUUUGAGGGUCAGUAUUAAUAAAAAUCGGUUUAGUUACCAAUUGUGACGGUUUCGGAGUUUGGGCUAUUUUAACCUUUUUGGUUAAGAGGCUUAAAAUUGACCUUUUUUGCGCAUUUUUAAACGUACAUAAAUUUUUUUUUUUCCUCUUUUCCUAAUGCCAAAAUCUUAUUAGAUUCCAUCAC